CAGGCCAGGCUCCGGGAGAUGUGGAAUUGGCGAAACAACUGCCCCAGUAGUAUCCUCCGCCUAGGACUCCAAGAGGUGGCGAAUUGGGGCACUACGCCCGGGAACCAGGGUGGCAGGGCUAGAUGUCCUCUCACCAGACUGCCCAGUGAAGGUGCUGUCACUUUGAUGAAUUAUCAAGGCUUUGUAGUGGGUCUUCUACUGGACAAAGGACAAACUGGAGACUCCCUGGAUCAAAUGUGUUGAAAAUGUUAUAGUGCUGUCAGGAAGUGCUGUUCUGGAAUACAGAAUGUGGCUGCCGUGAGUGGAGUGUGACUAUGAGAUAGUCGCCUGACUGGAGACAAUGAAGCCUCAGGCCAAGGAUGCUCCCUCCUACUCAGCCCUGUUUAGUGGGAUUUUUCAGCCCACUGUAAAGCCUACUGCUGCCUGUAAAGCCACCUAAGUGCAUCACUUGCUGGUGUUCACCAUGAUAACAACAAUUUAUGGGGACAGAAUAUGUUUCUAGAGCUGCUGGUGCCACUGCUGAUGUUACUGGGUUCCCUGAAAUAAAACACCACAGUGCAGCCAAAGCUGGACGGUACUGCUGCCAUCUCGGCUCACUGCAACCUCCCUGCCUGA
Molecule: long non-coding RNA, 615 nt
Organism: Homo sapiens (human)
Lineage: Eukaryota; Metazoa; Chordata; Mammalia; Primates; Hominidae
Gene: TMEM9B-AS1
Product: TMEM9B antisense RNA 1
Source: Ensembl